This is a long non-coding RNA of Ostrea edulis (European flat oyster), 511 nucleotides long. RefSeq lists it as uncharacterized. NCBI's taxonomy places the organism in Eukaryota, Metazoa, Mollusca, Bivalvia, Ostreida, Ostreidae. The record is from RefSeq and is a predicted model, not a curated record. The transcript has 2 exons.
GAGUUCUCAUUACAGCAUGUACUAUAUAAGAUACCGUCUUGUUCCUCCGUCACAUCGGUAUUGAACACAAUAAGAUAAAGAUGUUGAAAGAGGUUAUUAUCCUGGGCUUCAUGGUCGCAGUCGGUAGUGAGAGCAUUUGCCGGAACUGCCAAGUAGAGAGGAAGCUGUACAGAGGCAACAGCCAAUUCAGCUUCAACAUAGGAUGCCUUCGUUACAAUUGCCAAUGUAAGUGUGACGGUUCCUACUACUGUCCAAAUUAUUUAACCCAAAACAUCUGCAGAGGCAGUCAGCGGCCAUGCAGUAACUGUCAGGUUUAUGGGAAAGAAUAUCCGCGUGGGCCUUUCAAUAUUGACAGCGGGUGUAGUAGACAUGAUUGCAACUGUAAUUGUGACGGAUCAUGGUAUUGCACUAAAGAGAAAACCAUACGUAUUUGUUGACCAUUCUACUGACAAAAGCUGGUUUUAAAUAUAUUGCUGUUUGAAUAAAGGAAAUAAAGCUUCCUUGCACUUGC